Molecule: ribosomal RNA, 692 nt
Filed under: uncultured marine bacterium
Lineage: Bacteria
Description: bacterial SSU rRNA
Rfam family: Bacterial small subunit ribosomal RNA
Source: RNAcentral
AGCGGCGGACGGGUGAGUAACGCGUGGGAAUGUGCCCUUCUCUACGGAAUAGCCACUGGAAACGGUGAGUAAUACCGUAUACGCCCUCAGGGGGAAAGAUUUAUCGGAGAAGGAUCAGCCCGCGUUAGAUUAGGUAGUUGGUGGGGUAACGGCCUACCAAGCCUACGAUCUAUAGCUGGUUUUAGAGGAUGAUCAGCCACACUGGGACUGAGACACGGCCCAGACUCCUACGGGAGGCAGCAGUAGGGAAUCUUGGACAAUGGGGGCAACCCUGAUCCAGCCAUGCCGCGUGAGUGAAGAAGGCCCUAGGGUCGUAAAGCUCUUUCGCCUGUGAUGAUAAUGACAGUAGCAGGUAAAGAAACCCCGGCUAACUCCGUGCCAGCAGCCGCGGUAAUACGGAGGGGGUUAGCGUUGUUCGGAAUUACUGGGCGUAAAGCGCGCGUAGGCGGAUUGGAAAGUUGGGGGUGAAAUCCCGGGGCUCAACCCCGGAACUGCCUUCAAAACUCCCAGUCUAGAGUUCGAGAGAGGUGAGUGGAAUUCCGACUGUAGAGGUGAAAUUCGUAGAUAUUCGGAAGAACACCAGUGGCGAAGGCGGCUCACUGGCUCGAUACUGACGCUGAGGUGCGAAAGUGUGGGGAGCAAACAGGAUUAGAUACCCUGGUAGUCCACACCGUAAACGAUGAAUGCCAGUC